This 144-nucleotide microRNA precursor is filed under the name Bombyx mori (domestic silkworm). RNAcentral's name for it is "microRNA bmo-mir-3347a precursor". The stretch from base 21 to 126 matches the Rfam family "mir-3347 microRNA precursor family". Lineage: Eukaryota; Metazoa; Arthropoda; Insecta; Lepidoptera; Bombycidae. The record is from miRBase by way of RNAcentral.
GCGGAGAUUUAUCUAAACUUGUGGGACCUGUUCUGUUUAGUAUGUAUGCGGCGGUAUUAAUGAGCUCUGCCCAUAGCACUUGCGGUAAUGGCUCAUGAGCGUACAUCAUUGAUCUUGCUGUCUCAACUAGGGUUCUGUUCUCCC